Molecule: ribosomal RNA, 460 nt
Filed under: Bacillus thuringiensis
Lineage: Bacteria; Bacillati; Bacillota; Bacilli; Caryophanales; Bacillaceae
Description: bacterial SSU rRNA
Rfam family: Bacterial small subunit ribosomal RNA
Source: RNAcentral
GAUGAACGCUGGCGGCGUGCCUAAUACAUGCAAGUCGAGCGAAUGGAUUAAGAGCUUGCUCUUAUGAAGUUAGCGGCGGACGGGUGAGUAACACGUGGGUAACCUGCCCAUAAGACUGGGAUAACUCCGGGAAACCGGGGCUAAUACCGGAUAACAUUUUGAACUGCAUGGUUCGAAAUUGAAAGGCGGCUUCGGCUGUCACUUAUGGAUGGACCCGCGUCGCAUUAGCUAGUUGGUGAGGUAACGGCUCACCAAGGCAACGAUGCGUAGCCGACCUGAGAGGGUGAUCGGCCACACUGGGACUGAGACACGGCCCAGACUCCUACGGGAGGCAGCAGUAGGGAAUCUUCCGCAAUGGACGAAAGUCUGACGGAGCAACGCCGCGUGAGUGAUGAAGGCUUUCGGGUCGUAAAACUCUGUUGUUAGGGAAGAACAAGUGCUAGUUGAAUAAGCUGGCACC